RNAcentral lists this ribosomal RNA (500 nucleotides) under uncultured bacterium. RNAcentral describes it as "bacterial SSU rRNA". It matches the Rfam family "Bacterial small subunit ribosomal RNA", at positions 405 to 896 of the family's 1533-position model. The record is from RNAcentral.
GGGAAGAAGGCCUUCGGGUUGUAAACCCCUUUCAGUUGGGACGAAGCUUCCGGCGUUAAUAGCGUUGCGGAGUGACGGUACCUUCAGAAGAAGCCCCGGCUAACUACGUGCCAGCAGCCGCGGUAAUACGUAGGGGGCUAGCGUUGUCCGGAAUCAUUGGGCGUAAAGCGCGUGUAGGCGGUCCGGUAAGUCCGCUGUGAAAGUCGGGGGCUCAACCCUCGGAUGCCGGUGGAUACUGUCGGGCUUGAGUACGGAAGAGGCGAGUGGAAUUCCUGGUGUAGCGGUGAAAUGCGCAGAUAUCAGGAGGAACACCAAUUGCGAAGGCAGCUCGCUGGGACGUUACUGACGCUGAGACGCGAAAGCGUGGGGAGCAAACAGGAUUAGAUACCCUGGUAGUCCACGCUGUAAACGAUGGGCACUAGGUGUGGGGGGUGUCGACUCCCUCCGUGCCGAAGCUAACGCAUUAAGUGCCCCGCCUGGGGAGUACGGCCGCAAGGCUA